RNAcentral lists this ribosomal RNA (253 nucleotides) under uncultured bacterium. Its description in RNAcentral is "partial 16S ribosomal RNA". It matches the Rfam family "Bacterial small subunit ribosomal RNA", at positions 524 to 776 of the family's 1533-position model. The record is from RNAcentral.
UACAGAGGGGGCAAGCGUUGUUCGGAAUUACUGGGCGUAAAGGGCGCGUAGGCGGCCUGUUAAGUCGAACGUGAAAUCCCCGGGCUCAACCCGGGAACUGCGUCCGAUACUGGUUGGCUUGAAUCCGGGAGAGGGAUGUGGAAUUCCAGGUGUAGCGGUGAAAUGCGUAGAUAUCUGGAGGAACACCGGUGGCGAAGGCGACAUCCUGGACCGGUAUCGACGCUGAGGCGCGAAAGCCAGGGGAGCAAACGGG